This 484-nucleotide ribosomal RNA is filed under the name uncultured bacterium. Its description in RNAcentral is "partial 16S ribosomal RNA". It matches the Rfam family "Bacterial small subunit ribosomal RNA", at positions 30 to 507 of the family's 1533-position model. The record is from RNAcentral.
AUUGAACGCUGGCGGCAGGCCUAACACAUGCAAGUCGAGCGGCUGAAGGGAGCUUGCUCCUGGAUUCAGCGGCGGACGGGCGAGUAAUGCCUAGGAAUCUGCCUGGUAGCGGGGGAUAACGUCCGGAAACGGGCGCUAAUACCGCAUACGUCCUGAGGGAGAAAGUGGGGGAUCUUCGGACCUUACGCUAUCAGAUGAGCCUAGGUCGGAUUAGCUAGUUGGUGGGGUAAAGGCCUACCAAGGCGACGAUCCGUAACUGGUCUGAGAGGAUGAUCAGUCACACUGGAACUGAGACACGGUCCAGACUCCUACGGGAGGCAGCAGUGGGGAAUAUUGGACAAUGGGCGAAAGCCUGAUCCAGCCAUGCCGCGUGUGUGAAGAAGGUCUUCGGAUUGUAAAGCCCUUUAAGUUGGGAGGAAGGGCAGUAAGUUAAUACCUUGCUGUUUUGACGUUACCAACAGAAUAAGCACCGGCUAACUUCGUG